Molecule: long non-coding RNA, 7729 nt
Filed under: Phoenix dactylifera (date palm)
Lineage: Eukaryota; Viridiplantae; Streptophyta; Magnoliopsida; Arecales; Arecaceae
Description: long non-coding RNA (PDAC_LNC004354)
Source: RNAcentral
GUAGAAUUAAGUUUUACAUUGUAACCGAAUAACUAUUUUGCCAUCAAGGAGCCUCCUGCCUGCUUACAGGCAAGUCUCCAUUUUACUGUCUCUGAUCCACAGUUUAAUAGUCUACUUCACCUUGCUGAUGUAUAAUAGACACCUUAGUAGUUAAUAUUUAUAUAGCGAUGAUUGAUAAUUACAAAAACCAAUUUGCUAUAGGUUUUUACUAUCAGCUGAUAAUUAAUUUCUAAUAAGCAAGAGAAUUGCUGUAAAAACCAUUUGAAUAAAUGCUCUACAAGAUUUAAGAAGGUUGGUUUCUCUCCUAAAUAUAAGUUACAUCGCUAAAACAAGAAUCGAUCAUUAUGCCCAUAUUUAAAUGUUCAUCAGCAUUGUCCUUGACUCAACUACUAGAAAGAUGUGGCGGUGAGAAUUUGUAUUCUCAGAUGGUGGUACUUUUCUUUCUACUCGCACGAUGUAUGGUACUUUCUUUCCAAUCAAGCAAAAGAAAACAACAUAAAAUCUUGUUGAUAUCCUAAACUCAACUUUAAUAAGCUGGUUGAAUGGCAAAAUAUAUCAAAUGGUAAAACAAAAACAGACAACUUUAGAGAUGAUUAAUUACUUUAGAGAAGAAGAAAUCCAAAAUGUCUUUUCUACUUACCUGUCAGAAAAAAGCAAUUGUUUGACUGCUUUUGUUGCAGGAGAGAUUGUUAUUUCUUUUCUUCAGAGAGAUUGUCAGCUACAGAUUCCUCCAAUGCCAUCUCACGUGUCCCUUGAGGCACUCUAUACCAAGGUUCACCGUCUCGGUGCUGAACCCAUACCGGUACCACACUAGCACAACGUCGGUACGGUACGAAAUUUUUUUGGCAUAUCGAGUAUUGGUAUGCCACCCAUAACCGAAUACUGGUACCGAACCAGUACGGUACUGUACGCCUUGUACUGUUUGAUUCGGGCCGAUAUGGCGUACCUUACUCUAUACCACAGUGCUAACCAGAAAAUCCUCCAUAACACCAUUUGCAAAAUGAGGAAUGAUCAGGCGCCCAGUAUGGAUGAUAUGGGCUAGGCAAUUUUAGCAACAUAAAGAAAAUUACAAUCAAAAGUAGAUGCCCUGGAAAUCCUCCUUCCUAAUCCAGAAACAGCAUAAAAUAAAUAGUUAAAAUAAAGAUAUGGAAUGCAUAUGAUUUAAACAAUACAAAGGUAACAAACCACUCAAACCUUGAGAUCUAGUGAAAGUUCUGUUGCUGUAUCCUUCAAGAUUCCAGCUAUAGCAAACAGAGAAAGAAAGGGGAUGGGUACGAGAACCAUCCUCCUUUCAUGAGCACAGUAUGACAUCUCACUUAAUGACAUAAUAGCCAGCAGUGGUAUACAAAGAUACUUUGCAGGUGCCCAAGGGAGUUCAACAACAAGUGGGCAAAAGUUGAUCAUCACUUUGGUCCAUGGGAAACUCUUAAUUGGUUAAGGAAAAUCUGUCUGAUAAAUUUCUUAGUUGACUGACUAUGCCAUCAAUGUCCAGUUUCUCAGGUCCACCAGCUUGGCCAGCCAUCGCAUUUAUUACACAAGGAAAGGAACACCAAGAUUUAUGACAUUCUGAGAUCCCAUAUAGCAUAUUGCUUAGCUGAAAGUGCAGAGAGUACAGAUCUGGAGAGAGAGCAAGUUGAAAGAAAAUUAAAACUGGCAAAAUAAAUAAUGGGAGAAAAAAACAAGGUGAUAUCUCAUCAGAUAACCAGAACAGCACAGUGCUGUCUGGUAUCAUUAUUAAUUAUGCAAUUUAAAACAAAUAUGACAGGGUCAGCAUCAGCUGAGCAAAAUCUAUAAACCAAACCAAAAAAGGGAUUAAAGAUUUUCUUUUGUUCAUAAAUUACAUACUUCAAAGAAAGAAAUACUAAAUUUGAAAGCUCCCUCGCAACCUAACAGGCACGAGACAAUGGCACUUAGCAUUUAUUUGCAGGAAUCUCCAGGAAGGUAUUGGUUCAACUUUGUUGACCAGGGAUAUUGAUGUCUGAUUCAUGGUUUUACUGAACUAAUCAUAGAGGUAUCCAGUAUAAGAGGAUAGGUCAUGUGACACUUGUAACUUGCAAGAAAUACAUGCUCCAGAAUGAACUGAUGAAUAGCCCAUCUUUCUUCUCAAAAAAAAAAAAGGAAAAUAAACUUAUUCUAAGACCAAAUGAGUAUGAGAAAUAUGCUCAAGUAUAAACAGGAUAAACACAAGUAUUAGUAGAGUGCUGAACUCUUAAAGAUACUCAUCAUUAGGAAGCUGUCGUCGAAGGGUAAGGUUAAUAAUUGGUACCGAAAAGCAUAUGAAAAUAUUCUAUAGCAUCAAUAUCCCUUAUCAAGGUUAAUAUUUUUGGACUUUUGAUGUUAAAUAUUUUCAAACCAGUUUCUUUUGCUACUAAUACUUUAUACCCCAAGACCUCCAACAUAAUCCUUUUUCUCGGAUUUUGACAUCCUUUUAUCGGCAAAUUGCAAGCCCCUUAUCCAUGCUUUUAUCGGCAAAUUAUACCCCGAGACCUCUAACAUCUCUUCUACUUGAACCCCGUAUCCAAGCUUCAUCCUACAAUCAGAAAAAGGGAAAAAAUAACCUGACGACUGAACCCAAAAAGAAGCAUUUGAUGGGGGCAAAGAAAAAGCCCAAAGUACUCAUUUUUGGGAGGGAACCAAAGGCCACAGGAACCGACGCUAACGCCAUGGCCGAGUUCAUCUCUUUCCGGAAGAAGCAAGAAGAUUACACCGCAAAAGAUGGAAAUCUCCAAGAUGGUGAACACGGAACAGCAAGGAACGAAUCAUAGCAUUCUUGAACCGGGGACGGCUUCCCCUGUAGCUUCUUUAAUGUUUAAUGGCGGAAACCCUAAAAAAAAAAAAUUGGGAAAAAGGAGAGACAAAAGGAGGUGGUCGAGGCGGGAGAGAAGGAACCGCCGACCCCUAUAGGGUUCAAACCCUUUCUAUCCUCAUGUCUCAUACGCGCAUCGAUUUACGACAAUUGCGCGUCUAUCGACCCGCUAUUGCAAUGUAUUGCCGUGAGAAUAUAGAUUGGAAUUUUUAUAUAACACCACACCAAUUUUUGGAUUUGCCCCUAUAAUCCUAUAAAUUCAUAUUUUAUACAAAUACUUAGAAAAUAACAUAUUCAGCCCCGGGCAUUAACUAGUCACCGGUCUACUCCUAUAAAUUCAUAUCAGAGCUCCCAUGCUGUCUCUAUAUAAAUAGUAUCUAAAAAAUAUUAUUUAGAUUUUCUGAUUCUAUAUAAAUAACUAUCUAAUGCAAAUUAUGCGGGACUAAAUAUGUAUUCAUAUAGGUUUUUACAUACCGUCCGCAUGAAUUCUCAAAUAUCUUUUUCGUUUAAACCUUAGUAUCGUGAAAGGUCCAAACCUAUUUAAGUCUAAUCAUAAGUAUGAAAAAUUCAAUCAUAAAUACCAUAAUUAUUCCGUAAUCAGCUCAAAAAGGCAUGUGUUGUGUUGCAGUGUUCUCUACAACACUUAAGCCAUAGGCUGUAUCCGUUUUAUACUAUUUGUAAUAGCUUUAAAAUUUUACUUAAAAAAUUUAGUUAGAAAAUAUUAUUUGAGCUUUUUAGUUUUUUUUUUAAUAGAUACUGAGAAUCUAUAUAGUAUAAUUAAUAUAAAACUAAACAUACAUCCGUAUAAAUUCUCAUAUAUACAGCAACUUUAUUAUAGUACUGCAAGUUAACGUAGGCAAUGAUGCCGUUUAGUCCACAGCGGCAAUUAUUGCGAUUGGGCUCGGGGAGGAAAGGGGCAAGGAGGUAGAUGUGGCCAAGGGGAAGAAGGGGCUCGGCAAGAGUAGUAAAGAGCUCGGCAUUGAUGAGUAGGUCAAGCUCACAGGAGGAGUUGGGGGCAACGGCGGCAGCGGCAUGAGAGUUUUGUUGGGGCAUAUGGUGGGGAAGGCCAGGAUUGGAGGUGAAAAUCAUACAAAUACUCUAAACUAAUACUUCAAUCGAUAUUUGAGUGAAGAGAAUUCAUGUCAUCUAAUAUUAAGUUCAGUAUUUAACUAGAGUAAAAGAAUUGUAAUCCUGAAUUUGUCUAACAGCUGCCAUUUAAAAAUGAGCAGCAAGGAUAUUCGUGCAAACAGUAAAUAUUUAAAAGAGUUUUUUACAUAAAUAUUCUUCUAAAUAUCAAAUUUUGCAUAAAUAUCCUAAUUUAAUAUUUACAUGUAUACUCUCUUAAAACACUUAUUUUGCUAUUUUACUUUUUUUUGUUUUUGUUUUUGUAUAUGUACCCAUGUCAUCUAACGCCGUUAAGAAAUAAUGGUUCCAAAUUAAAAUAACUAAAAUACACUUAGUGGGUAGACGUGCAAACAGAAACAUUUAUAAAGGAUCGCGAUUGCGAAAAAAAAGACAGAGACAAUAGCAUAAUUUCAAAAUUUUAUUUUAUUUUUGAUUAAUAUAAGUACAAUUUUUCUUAACACCAUUAGGGGCAUUUAUACAAUAAUAGAGUUUUAUGAGGGUAUAUAUAUAAAUAUCAAUUUUGGAAGGAUAUUCAUGCAAAAUCCGAUAUUUAGAAGGAUAUCCAUGCAAAAAUUCCUAUUUAAAAUAAUGUCUAGGUGAAUAUAUAUUUACAGGGUUAUACAUGUAAAUUUUAAAAUUUGGAGAGCUAUAUAUACAAAAAUUCUUUAUAUUUUUGUAGUAAAUAGAAAUAAUUUUUUUUUUUUGUAGAUGAAAGCAAACAGUGAAUACAAAAAUCAUGCAUAUAUUUGUCCAAUUUUCAGAUCCAGCAUUUUACUUGCCCCUAGGAAGCUGUGCAUGUCAAUAUUUUGUCUUCUUAACAAAACAGAUGCAUACAAUAUAAUUCAACAUCCUAUGCAUAUUUCACCAAUACUUAGUUAAAUAUGUAAAAAGAAUGGCAGGAAAUCUCAUGACAAAGAAGAUUAAGUCCGAAUAAUUUGGAUAUGUUUCUGCAUUGGAAAGUAGGAAAGAAAACAAGUAGGUUUUACUGCUGAACUGUUUUUGCAGCGAAGAUUCACCAUCUUCCCAUGAGAUUCACAAAAAGGUCGUCAUAAUUUCUUCUCCAUAAAGUGAUUUCCCAAAGAUGUCUUCACCAGUGUCUCGAGCGCCCCUCAAGGCACUCACAGAGCAAAUCAGUAAUCCUUCAUAAUUAUAUUCACAAAGCAAGCAAUCAUAAAACAUAAUGCAAAGAACAUAAAAUAAAUUUCAACAACAAGCAAAGGCCAUGAGAAUCCCUCUUCUUGAUGUAGAAAUAGCAUAUAAUGACUAGCUAAGUAUGCAUCAUCAGGAUUAGAGUGCAAUCAGCUCAUAACAUAUAAACUGCCUAUCCUUGAGAUCUGGUAAAAUUCCCAUGAUCCUUUGAAACUCCAGCUACAUUGGACCUUCUUGAUUUGUCGUAUAAGACAAUUUAUGCAUGUCAUGGGCGUCGCAAUGCGGUGCAAUCUAAAUCAAGGCCAACAAUAAAUCGACUUAAACAUUUGAUAUGUCGCAUGCCGUACAGAUGGAUAAAUCAUGGUUUUCCAUAACAAAUGUCAUCUUGAACAAGUUUGAGCACUUAAUAUAAAUAUAUUAUCCAAGCGAGACGAAUCCCUUCUCAGAAAAGGUCUUGCAUGGUCAGAUAUGAUUCAUGCUGAAAUUAUGCUGCCUCGCAUCCUACUAUGCACAAAAGAAAUCGCCGCGUUUAAUUUCACGAUGAGUAGAGUAAGGAAAAUCAUCCAUGAUCUACCACUAGAUAACCACAUUUUUAGGUUGGAAUAAGGUCAUACAUUUUAUUAGUUACAAUCAAUCUUCAAUGGAAGCAUGCCCUUGAUUGUUAACAACAGGAUAUUGUAUCAAUGAUAGAAGGAUCUUCAUACAUAGAUAAUGGGCAAUUUUUUCAAUCUCAUAACCUCACGGAUGAACAUCAAUUACUCGACAGAGUCGCAUUGAAAUAAUAAUGAAUGUUUUUAAAUAAGUUCUUCUAUCUGCAAGUUAACAAUUACACCAAAAAUCACAUAGAAUUAGUACCUAAGAUCAUAUGAAAUUGUAGAAAUUACAGAGCGAAAACAAAAUUAUGUCAGGAUAGUUGUAAUCUAUCCAGAUUGGCUUGAGAAAAUGACACUCCUCAUUUCAAUAGUUGACCUAGAAAAUAUGCUGACAUGACGCUGCCUACCAUCCUACAUGCUCAAGUUCAAAUCUCUAUUUUUAAUCCCACAAAGAGUGGAAGUGAUAGUAAAGAAAAUCUUCUAUAAUCCACCACUACCUGUGUCAGGUUGAAAUAGCGUCACAUAUUUCUAUCAACUACUAUCGAUCUUCAAGGAAAACAAGCUAUCAACAGUAGAAGGAUCUUCAAGCACAGAUAAAGGGCUACAUGUUUUCAAUCUCACACAACCUCUUUGAUGAACAUUAAUUACAUGAUGCAUGCAGCGAUAUUGAAAUAAUAGUAUAUACUUCUAAGUUCUUGCACCUACAUCUGUACAAUGACACUGAAAAAAUACAUAAACCGAUUAAUAAAUGAAACUGCGUAUUAGAUAAGAAGAAAUUACGAAGUCAAAAAUAAGAGUAUGACAUAAAUGCCAUAGGCGGCACGAAGAGGCUUGAGAGAAUGUUGCCUUAUCAUUUCAUUAGCUGCAAGAAUCUUAGGAAGGCACAGGAUAAAUUCAUGUAAAGCUUUUAUUUGGGAUUCUAGAUGUUGCUAAGAUACGGGAGAUUGGAUCAUGUUGUAGUUUUAAGACAAAGGAAGUAAGGUUGCAGGAGUGUGCUUAAGUAUAAAAAGGACAAUUACGAGGGUUCGGGUUGUAUCUUUCUCACAAAAGGAUGAUUGAUGUUCUUUUACAAUGUUAAUUGUUGGAUUACAUUUGGCGCAUAUCUCAAAGUCCAAACCUUUUCAUCUGCAUGGAUCUCAAAGUGGUUAUUAUGCGAUCCAACAGUGGAUUAGCACCAUGAUCCUUUUUUUGAAUAAAAGAUACAACGACCUUCCUAGCUAGUCUGUACUUAAACUAUGCGGAGCACUUGGAAAGGUUAAUCCUUUGCGAGAGCAUAUAGUUAGUCUCAUGGUGAUAUCCAUGCUAUCCAUAUCCGAAACUUUCUUUCAUCCAAGUGUUCAAGAAAUCAAAUGUAAUGCUCCUUGUAUUUGUGAUGUUCGGAACACAAAUGGAAAACCAGUUCUCAGCGCAUAGAGCGUGCAAAAUAGUAGGAUGACUCGGCUAUGGUGAUCAGUUGGAUUUAGAGAGGUCUGAGGAGUGUUGGCUUGGACCACCCUUUGCUUCGAGAUAUUUAGAUAAUAGUGAGGGAUGGUGAGGCCUUCCAGGCCAAGCAUAUUUUUAGAAAGAUCAAACACGGCUACAGAUUGGGUUGCCGUCUAUGUGGCCAGUCGUGCUGCGAGCACCUUGUGGAUCGGAGAGGGGGAGUUGCCUCGGGCACUCCGCGAUCUUUUAUUUUCUUAACUUUAUUGGAUGUAUUCGUACAUGUAUUGUAUGAUAUACUUGCCAAAGCAAAAAAAAAAAAAGCAUGCAAAGUAGACAUGCUUAAUUCUACCGCUAGAAUUGAAGGCAUGAAGUUUGUUAAAUAAAUAAAUAAAUAAUAGAAGGUUGUAAACAAGAUUUUCUUUAUCUAUAAAUCAAAAAUAGAACAAAAAAGAGGUACAUCCUAAAAAGAUUAGAAAUAAUGCCAAGUUCUCCCGCUGAAUAAUUUGCAAGAAGUCCUCCACCUUCAACUCGUCAUAGCACUCGCCACCAAGAGAACAGUCUUCAGCCUAUAAAACUGAUCCAAAAAAUUGAAGCACGGAGCGACAUGUCUCAACACUCUAUCUCCAGUCCAGUC